GUCCACACCCUAAACGAUGCGCACUAGAUUCGAGAGCCUCUGACGGUUAUCGGGUCGAAGCAAAAGUGUUAAGUGCGCCGCCUGGGGAGUACGGCCGCAAGGCUAAAACUCAAAGGAAUUGACGGGGGCUCACACAAGCGGUGGAGCAUGUGGCUCAAUUCGAAGCAACGCGAAGAACCUCACCCGGGUUUGACAUGCUGGGAUUAGUUCCCUGAAAGGGGAAUGACGCGGCUUUGCCGUGGAACCAGCACAGGUGCUGCAUGGCUGUCGU
Molecule: ribosomal RNA, 271 nt
Filed under: uncultured bacterium
Lineage: Bacteria
Description: partial 16S ribosomal RNA
Rfam family: Bacterial small subunit ribosomal RNA
Source: RNAcentral